GGAGAGGUGGCCGAGUGGUCGAAGGCGCUCCCCUGCUAAGGGAGUAUACCGGUGACGGUAUCGUGGGUUCGAAUCCCAUCCUCUCCGCCA
This 90-nucleotide transfer RNA is filed under the name Aureimonas fodinaquatilis. Its description in RNAcentral is "Aureimonas sp. CAU 1482 tRNA-Ser". It matches the Rfam family "tRNA". Rfam says of the family: Transfer RNA (tRNA) molecules are approximately 80 nucleotides in length. Their secondary structure includes four short double-helical elements and three loops (D, anti-codon, and T loops). Further hydrogen bonds mediate the characteristic L-shaped molecular structure. tRNAs have two regions of fundamental functional importance: the anti-codon, which is responsible for specific mRNA codon recognition, and the 3' end, to which the tRNAs corresponding amino acid is attached (by aminoacyl-tRNA synthetases). tRNAs cope with the degeneracy of the genetic code in two manners: having more than one tRNA (with a specific anti-codon) for a particular amino acid; and 'wobble' base-pairing, i.e. permitting non-standard base-pairing at the 3rd anti-codon position. The record is from RNAcentral. Lineage: Bacteria; Pseudomonadati; Pseudomonadota; Alphaproteobacteria; Hyphomicrobiales; Aurantimonadaceae.